This 1440-nucleotide ribosomal RNA is filed under the name Triticum aestivum (bread wheat). RNAcentral describes it as "partial small subunit ribosomal RNA". Lineage: Eukaryota; Viridiplantae; Streptophyta; Magnoliopsida; Poales; Poaceae. The record is from RNAcentral.
AGUGGUCGAGGGAGGGAGGUAUCGGCCGCCAGUCGCUCUAAGUGUCGGUGACUGGGGGGGAGGAGUACAGCUUAGACCGGCGUCUUCACCGGCUCUUCCGGGAGCUCGAGCCGUACGAGCGCGGUCGCGCGAGAUCCGAGGUAGCCUCCGCCUGCGCCUCCGCGUCCUGAGGUCCGGAGAGGAGACGGGACGAGGAAGAAGCUUAGGUCAGCGGAUUCACGAGCUCCUCCGCGAGCUCGAACCGUACGAGCAACCGCUGUGGCCCGGGGAGGGAGGAGGACAACGGAGCGGCGGCGGUACUCGGGGAGGUGGGAGAGGACACACUAACAUGUCGAGGUCCAUUCAGAGAGAGAGGCUGGGCUGGCGGACUACGUUCGAAACAACUGCUCCUCUCUUUUUUGUUAGGGGGUUGACCACUAUUCUACCCACGACUACAUGAAGUAUGCUAAAGAAGGAAAGGUCCGUCAGACAACCGUGUUACUUAUUACAGACGAGAAGCUGACCUCGUCAAGAAGGGACAACCAUUAGUCUCCUAUGUACGAUGAUUAAGAAGUUGACUUUAAUUAAAAGUCAAACUAGGUUCUCGUUUAGUACUUGGAGUUCAAAAGAAUCGUGGAUACGGUUUCUCUUCUUCCAAUCAAAGAAAGUUCUUACUUUCUUGACCAUGGUUUCCUUGACGACAGUCAUUUUCUGUAAUACCCUUCGUUCGACUGUGGGGUGGCGUUGGACACGGAUUUCGUUUACUUCGUUCACGUCCCCGGUUGGGAAAAGAUACCUCGUAUUAAAGUUCGAGUAGUUGGUUGUAUUGGAAACCGUGAUUAUCGUUAGCGUGUAUAACACCUGUCGAAGUGUUACACAGGGAGUGACUCUUUAGUGGUACUUACAAGGGAAAGUUCAGUGAAGUAUUCAACAAGACAAUAACCCGAAACAAUCUAUUCGACUAAAUUGAUUCAUAAUAAGACGAGAUCUAACAACGAAGACCAACACUCACUUAGAUUCUCAAUUGUACCAUGUUAUAGAAGAGCUUCUACUACAUAAGGAAGUAUUUUUUCCUACAAGCUCUUCAAUAAUAACUUCUCCUCAAGUCAGAGUACACUAAGAGUUCUCGAUUUUACCUUGUUCUUCACGUCCGGAGAGUACAGAUGUGAUUGAUUAGUCUUUUUUGCACCAUAGUCUUUUCCCGCUUAUCCCCUUCUUAGUUGUAUCUAUAACAGGGCCAAAAUAGGGCAGGACCUCGAUGUUCUUCCGACCCACUUCAGAUGCUACCCAAGAAAAGGUUCGUUUCUCUUCCGACUCCGCUGAGACCAGAUGUCGAUGUUCUUGCGGUAGUCGUCCAAGCCCUGCUUCGAGUGCGGGCGCGUUCAGCGGCACAACUCCUCACUCAAGGGGAGAACGACAAUACGAGACGAGAGUGUCAGUUGACUUAGGGAAAUCAAUCGU